GGUUAAGCGACUAAGCGUACACGGUGGAUGCCCUGGCAGUCAGAGGCGAUGAAGGACGUGCUAAUCUGCGAAAAGCGUCGGUAAGGUGAUAUGAACCGUUAUAGCCGGCGAUGUCCGAAUGGGGAAACCCAGUGUGAUUCGUCACACUAUCGUUAACUGAAUACAUAGGUUAACGAGGCGAACCGGGGGAACUGAAACAUCUAAGUACCCCGAGGAAAAGAAAUCAACCGAGAUUCCCCCAGUAGCGGCGAGCGAACGGGGAGCAGCCCAGAGUCUGAAUCAGCUUGUGUGUUAGUGGAACGGUCUGGAAAGUCCGACGGUACAGGGUGAUAGUCCCGUACACCAAAAUGCACAAGCUGUGAACUCGAAGAGUAGGGCGGGACACGUGGUAUCCUGUCUGAAUAUGGGGGGACCAUCCUCCAAGGCUAAAUACUCCUGACUGACCGAUAGUGAACCAGUACCGUGAGGGAAAGGCGAAAAGAACCCCGGCGAGGGGAGUGAAAAAGAACCUGAAACCGUGUACGUACAAGCAGUGGGAGCACCUUCGGGUGUGACUGCGUACCUUUUGUAUAAUGGGUCAGCGACUUAUAUUCUGUAGCAAGGUUAACCGUAUAGGGGAGCCGCAGGGAAACCGAGUCUUAACUGGGCGUUAAGUUGCAGGGUAUAGACCCGAAACCCGGUGAUCUAGCCAUGGGCAGGUUGAAGGUUGGGUAACACUAACUGGAGGACCGAACCGACUAAUGUUGAAAAAUUAGCGGAUGACUUGUGGCUGGGGGUGAAAGGCCAAUCAAACCGGGAGAUAGCUGGUUCUCCCCGAAAGCUAUUUAGGUAGCGCCUCGUGAA
Molecule: ribosomal RNA, 843 nt
Filed under: Klebsiella pneumoniae
Lineage: Bacteria; Pseudomonadati; Pseudomonadota; Gammaproteobacteria; Enterobacterales; Enterobacteriaceae
Description: partial 23S ribosomal RNA
Rfam family: Bacterial large subunit ribosomal RNA
Source: RNAcentral